This 434-nucleotide ribosomal RNA is filed under the name uncultured Lachnospiraceae bacterium. Its description in RNAcentral is "partial 16S ribosomal RNA". It matches the Rfam family "Bacterial small subunit ribosomal RNA", at positions 341 to 792 of the family's 1533-position model. The record is from RNAcentral. Lineage: Bacteria; Bacillati; Bacillota; Clostridia; Lachnospirales; Lachnospiraceae.
ACGGAAGGCAGCAGUGGGGAAUAUUGCACAAUGGGGGAAACCCUGAUGCAGCGACGCCGCGUGAGUGAAGAAGUUAUUCGUAAUGCAAAGCUCUAUCAGCAGGGAAGAAAAUGACGGUACCUGACUAAGAAGCCCCGGCUAACUACGUGCCAGCAGCCGCGGUAAUACGUAGGGGGCAAGCGUUAUCCGGAUUUACUGGGUGUAAAGGGAGCGUAGACGGUCUAGCAAGUCUGAUGUGAAAGGCAGGGGCUCAACUCCUGGACUGCAUUGGAAACUGUUAGUCUUGAGUGUCGGAGAGGUAAGCGGAAUUCCUAGUGUAGCGGUGAAAUGCGUAGAUAUUAGGAGGAACACCAGUGGCGAAGGCGGCUUACUGGACGAUAACUGACGUUGAGGCUCGAAAGCGUGGGGAGCAAACAGGAUUAGAUACCCUGGUA